AGUGGCGAACGGGUGAGUAAUACAUGGGUAAUCUGCCUUCGAGCGGGGGAUAACCAGCCGAAAGGCUGGCUAAUACCCCAUACGCUUCCGGUCCCUCGGGUAAGGAAGGAAAGCUGCAUCGUGGAUGUGGCACUCGAAGAUGGGCUCAUGGCCUAUCAGCUUGUUGGUGGGGUAACGGCCCACCAAGGCUACGACGGGUAGCUGGUCUGAGAGGACGAUCAGCCACACUGGCACUGAGAUACGGGCCAGACUCCUACGGGAGGCAGCAGUGAGGAAUAUUGCGCAAUGGGCGAAAGCCUGACGCAGCGACGCCGCGUGGGGGAAGAAGGUUUUCGGAUUGUAAACCCCUUUUAGGAGGAAAGAUGGGGUGGGUUUCCACCCGGACGGUACCUCCAGAAAAAGCCACGGCUAACUUCGUGCCAGCAGCCGCGGUAAUACGAAGGUGGCGAGCGUUGUUCGGAUUUACUGGGCGUAAAGAGCACGUAGGCGGUUUAGUAAGCCCCCUGGGAAAGCUAUGGGCUUAACCCAUAAAGGUCGAGGGGGACUGCUAAGCUAGAGGGCGGGAGAGGAGCGCGGAAUUCCCG
Molecule: ribosomal RNA, 584 nt
Filed under: uncultured bacterium
Lineage: Bacteria
Description: bacterial SSU rRNA
Rfam family: Bacterial small subunit ribosomal RNA
Source: RNAcentral